GAAAAUUUAUUACAUAAUAAUUAUUUAUGUUUCUUAUUAAUAUUUCUGAGCAAUAGAAAGAUUGAUAUCAAAGAGUUAAAAAGAGGAAGUAUAGAAAAAUGGAAAAUUUGUCCAUCAAUUUGAACCUUGUUAAUUGUAAAAUGAAUUUUAGAUUCGCCAUAGAUGAUAGUCGAAACAUCAUGUAAUUUGUUUCAAGUGGAAUACUUUAUUUCUAUCUUUGAAGUGUUUAAUUCUCGAAUGUCGAAAUUUGUUUAUCCAUGUGGAAAAACGGUGUUCGCAUGUGGAUUGUUGGGAAUGUUCUCAAAACUUGUACAGCUUGAAUUUUCACUGAAACAGUCUUAAACAACGUGAAUGAAUUUAUGCGGCUUGCGCUUUGCAGCAUUUCAGUGUCGGUCGACUCAUAAACUAAAAUGUAACAAGCUAAGUUUUUAACAGGAUAGAAUUGUUUCGCUGUUACGAUUCAUUUAUUACUACAAGAUUGAUGUAGAUAUCUUCAUCAUUUCCGUUACAAUGUUCUAAUACGGUGGCGAUCUCCGAAAACUUGUUACUUUCUUCAUCUGUUAGUGAAGUAUUUUGAUACUGUUGUGAGAGGUGUCAUGAUAAGAUGAUUAGUGGCAAUGAGUAAAAUAAUCAAAGGAAUCUUCAAUUGAUGCAGUUCAAACAUAUUUAUAUGUGUUUAUAUUUGAAGGUGCAAAAAUACACAGAUUGCAACCGUGAUAAAAAAUACAGAGAUGACAAAAAGGGGCAAGAAGGAACUAGAAAAUAGGAAAAAAUAGAUUUUUAAUUCAAUUAUAAACUUAUAUAAGUUUUAAAAAAGAACGAAAGAUAAAAGGAUUUCUUGAAAGAAUAAUGAUAAAUAUAGAACAAAAGGAAAUGUCGAACAGUAUCAACUUGAAGGAUCCAG
Molecule: long non-coding RNA, 904 nt
Organism: Bombus impatiens (common eastern bumble bee)
Lineage: Eukaryota; Metazoa; Arthropoda; Insecta; Hymenoptera; Apidae
Exons: 2
Source: RefSeq, a predicted model, not a curated record